This 460-nucleotide ribosomal RNA is filed under the name uncultured bacterium. RNAcentral describes it as "partial 16S ribosomal RNA". It matches the Rfam family "Bacterial small subunit ribosomal RNA", at positions 338 to 795 of the family's 1533-position model. The record is from RNAcentral.
CCUACGGGUGGCAGCAGUGAGGAAUAUUGGUCAAUGGACGCAAGUCUGAACCAGCCAUGCCGCGUGCAGGAAGACGACUCUAUGAGUUGUAAACUGCUUUUGUACGAGGGUAAACGCAGAUACGUGUAUCUGUCUGAAAGUAUCGUACGAAUAAGGAUCGGCUAACUCCGUGCCAGCAGCCGCGGUAAUACGGAGGAUUCAAGCGUUAUCCGGAUUUAUUGGGUUUAAAGGGUGCGUAGGCGGUCGGAUAAGUUAGAGGUGAAAGCCCGAGGCUCAACUUCGGAAUUGCCUUUGAGACUGUUCGGCUAGAGAGUAGUUGCGGUAGGCGGAACUUAUGGUGUAGCGGUGAAAUGCGUAGAGAUCAGACAGAACACCGGUUGCGAAGGCAGCUUACCAAGCUACAACUGACGUUGAGGCACGAAAGCGUGGGGAGCAAACAGGAUUAGAUACCCGUGUAGUC